AUUGAACGCUGGCGGCAGGCCUAACACAUGCAAGUCGAACGAGUGGCGGACGGGUGAGUAAUGUCUGGGAAACUGCCCGAUGGAGGGGGAUAACUACUGGAAACGGUAGCUAAUACCGCAUACCCUCGGAUGUGCCCAGAUGGGAUUAGCUAGGAGGUGGGGUAAUGGCUCACCUAGGCGACGAUCCCUAGCUGGUCUGGGAGGAUGACCAGCCACACUGGAACUGAGACACGGUGCAGACUCCUACGGGAGGCAGCAGUGGGGAAUAUUGCACAAUGGGCGCAAGCCUGAUGCAGCCAUGCCGGGUGUAUGAAGAAGGCCUUAGGGUUGUAAGGUACUUUCAGCGGGGGGGCGUUACCCGCAGAAGAAGCACCGGCUAACUCCGUGCCAGCCGCCGCGGUAAUUC
RNAcentral lists this ribosomal RNA (406 nucleotides) under uncultured bacterium. RNAcentral's name for it is "partial 16S ribosomal RNA". It matches the Rfam family "Bacterial small subunit ribosomal RNA", at positions 30 to 526 of the family's 1533-position model. The record is from RNAcentral.